GGGAUCGUAGUUCAGUUGGUUAGAAUGCCAGUCUGUCACACUGGAGGUCGCGAGUUCGAGUCUCGUCGGUCCCGCCA
RNAcentral lists this transfer RNA (77 nucleotides) under Ignavibacteriota bacterium. RNAcentral's name for it is "Ignavibacteriae bacterium (activated sludge metagenome) tRNA-Asp". It matches the Rfam family "tRNA". Rfam says of the family: Transfer RNA (tRNA) molecules are approximately 80 nucleotides in length. RNAcentral also lists the same sequence under 3 other names. Lineage: Bacteria; Pseudomonadati; Ignavibacteriota. The record is from RNAcentral.